AAAUAAAGAGAAAAGCAAUAAAAGGGGACAAAACGCCCCAAAGUAGAGUUCAAUAAUAUCAAUGCAUAGAGGAUGUGAAUUGAAAAGAGAAUGCAUGAGUGUAUGAAAAAGUGAGGAUUAUGAGUAGUUAGGUUUAGCUUUGAAAUUGAUGU
Molecule: non-coding RNA, 152 nt
Organism: Arachis ipaensis
Lineage: Eukaryota; Viridiplantae; Streptophyta; Magnoliopsida; Fabales; Fabaceae
Source: RefSeq, a predicted model, not a curated record